RNAcentral lists this ribosomal RNA (440 nucleotides) under uncultured bacterium. RNAcentral's name for it is "partial 16S ribosomal RNA". It matches the Rfam family "Bacterial small subunit ribosomal RNA", at positions 338 to 795 of the family's 1533-position model. The record is from RNAcentral.
CCUACGGGGGGCUGCAGUCGAGAAUCAUUCACAAUGGGGGAAACCCUGAUGCAGCGACGCCGCGUGAGUGAAGAAGUAUUUCGGUAUGUAAAGCUCUAUCAGCAGGGAAGAAAAUGACCGUACCUGACCAAGAAGGCCCGGCUAACUACGGGCCAGCAGCCGCGGUAAUACGUAGGGGGCAAGCGUUAUCCGGAUUUACUGGGUGUAAAGGGAGCGUAGACGGGUAUGUAAGUCUGGAGUGAAAGCCCGGGGCCCAACCCCGGGACUGCUUUGGAAACUGUGUAACUGGAGUACUGGAGAGGCAGACGGAAUUCCUAGUGUAGCGGUGAAAUGCGUAGAUAUUAGGAGGAACACCAGUGGCGAAGGCGGUCUGCUGGACAGCAACUGACGCUGAGGCGCGAAAGCGUGGGGAGCAAACAGGAUUAGAUACCCGGGUAGUC